AUUGAACGCUGGCGGCAUGCCUUACACAUGCAAGUCGAACGGCAGCACGGGUGCUUGCACCUGGUGGCGAGUGGCGAACGGGUGAGUAAUAAAUCGGAACAUGUCCUGUAGUGGGGGAUAGCCCGGCGAAAGCCGGAUUAAUACCGCAUACGAUCUACGGAUGAAAGCGGGGGACCUUCGGGCCUCGCGCUAUAGGGUUGGCCGAUGGCUGAUUAGCUAGUUGGUGGGGUAAAGGCCUACCAAGGCGACGAUCAGUAGCUGGUCUGAGAGGACGACCAGCCACACUGGGACUGAGACACGGCCCAGACUCCUACGGGAGGCAGCAGUGGGGAAUUUUGGACAAUGGGCGAAAGCCUGAUCCAGCAAUGCCGCGUGUGUGAAGAAGGCCUUCGGGUUGUAAAGCACUUUUGUCCGGAAAGAAAUCCUUGGCUCUAAUACAGUCGGGGGAUGACGGUACCGGAAGAAUAAGCACCGGCUAACUACGCG
Molecule: ribosomal RNA, 486 nt
Filed under: uncultured bacterium
Lineage: Bacteria
Description: partial 16S ribosomal RNA
Rfam family: Bacterial small subunit ribosomal RNA
Source: RNAcentral